This 166-nucleotide ribosomal RNA is filed under the name uncultured bacterium. Its description in RNAcentral is "partial 16S ribosomal RNA". It matches the Rfam family "Bacterial small subunit ribosomal RNA", at positions 1327 to 1500 of the family's 1533-position model. The record is from RNAcentral.
UGGAUUCGCUAGUAAUCGCGCAUCAGCCAUGGCGCGGUGAAUACGUUCCCGGGCCUUGUACACACCGCCCGUCAAGCCAUGGGAGCCGGGGGCGCCUGAAGUCCGGGACCGCGAGGACCGGCCUAGGGCGAAACUGGUAACUGGGGCUAAGUCGUAACAAGGUACC